CGCCUCUCAAGUUUAACUUGGUAUUGAGUUUGUGAUGAAAAUUGCAUUCUUUAAAUAUUCACAGCUUAUUAUUAAGAAAAGCGUUUGAAAUAAAUCGUUUACUCUGAAGUAAUAAACUCGUAACCUCUUCCAAA
This 134-nucleotide unclassified non-coding RNA is filed under the name uncultured Dothideomycetes. RNAcentral describes it as "sequence contains ITS2". Lineage: Eukaryota; Fungi; Ascomycota; Dothideomycetes. The record is from RNAcentral.